CCUACGGGAGGCUGCAGUAGGGAAUAUUGCUCAAUGGGGGAAACCCUGAAGCAGCAACGCCGCGUGGAGGAUGAAGGUUUUCGGAUUGUAAACUCCUUUUGUUAGAGAAGAUAAUGACGGUAUCUAACGAAUAAGCACCGGCUAACUCCGGGCCAGCAGCCGCGGUAAUACGGAGGGUUCAAGCGUUACUCGGAAUAACUGGGCGUAAAGCGCGCGGAGGCGGGAUAGCAAGUCAGAUGUGAAAUCCUAUGGCUUAACCAUAGAACUGCAUUUGAAACUGGUAUUCUAGAGUAUGGGAGAGGUAGGUGGAAUUCUUGGUGUAGGGGUAAAAUCCGUAGAGAUCAAGAGGAAUACUCAUUGCGAAGGCGACCUGCUAGAACAUAACUGACGCUGAUGCGCGAAAGCGUGGGGAGCAAACAGGAUUAGAUACCCGUGUAGUC
RNAcentral lists this ribosomal RNA (440 nucleotides) under uncultured bacterium. RNAcentral describes it as "partial 16S ribosomal RNA". It matches the Rfam family "Bacterial small subunit ribosomal RNA", at positions 338 to 795 of the family's 1533-position model. The record is from RNAcentral.